This is a long non-coding RNA of Daphnia pulicaria, 688 nucleotides long. RefSeq lists it as uncharacterized. NCBI's taxonomy places the organism in Eukaryota, Metazoa, Arthropoda, Branchiopoda, Diplostraca, Daphniidae. The record is from RefSeq and is a predicted model, not a curated record. The transcript is spliced from 3 exons.
UGUUAUUUUUGUCCCUAGAUAAAAAAUAAUUGGACUAACCAGGACUUGGUUUUAAAUAUUUUAAAUUGGGACUCAAUUACGAUACCCCAAUGUUGCUUACGUUCGUUAAGGCAAAUAGUAUAGUGUCGUUUCUGUAAAGUAAUGUUGGAGUAAAUGGUAUCCUUGUUGAUUCUACAGUACUGCCAAUAAGUAAUCUUAGAACUGGUAUAAGGAAACAGGGAGAAAAUCCUGGAGUUGUCUGAACUAGAUCAACUGCUGUAACCUCUACAUAGGUUUUAACAUAGAAUAUAUUGUCAACUAUUUUAUCGGUAAGCUUUAACAAUUAAGAACUGUCAUCAAUAACAUCCAUCCAAACAACAGCCUGUCCCUGCACAACAUAGCACAAAUGCCACAAAUAACUAACCAGACUUUAAAUUCCGCCAUGCAUUUUUUCAGUCUAAAGUGUAAAAGUUUCGUUUGUAAAUCUGGCUGACUUUUGUGGUCAGUGUUCGUCAAUUAUUGACAUCUAAAGGAAUGGUUCGAUAACUUAUAUUGAGAUUCUGAAACUUCUCUUCGUCUUCGUCUUCGUCUUUUGUGAAGAUGUUGGAAAAAUUGCGUAAUCAACAACACUAGACGCGUGAUUAAUACCUCACAUAAUAAAUCUAUAUUUAACAAAACCGAAGAGUGGAAGGUGUUAUAAUUCUUAUUC